AUUGAACGCUGGCGGCAUGCCUUACACAUGCAAGUCGAACGGCAGCGGGGGAGAAGCUUGCUUUUCCUGCCGGCGAGUAGCGAACGGGUGAGUAAUACAUCGGAACGUGCCCUGUAGUGGGGGAUAACUAGUCGAAAGAUUAGCUAAUACCGCAUACGACCUGAGGGUGAAAGUGGGGGACCGCAAGGCCUCAUGCUAUAGGAGCGGCCGAUGUCUGAUUAGCUAGUUGGUGGGGUAAAGGCCUACCAAGGCGACGAUCAGUAGCUGGUCUGAGAGGACGAUCAGCCACACUGGGACUGAGAUACGGCCCAGACUCCUACGGGAGGCAGCAGUGGGGAAUUUUGGACAAUGGGCGAAAGCCUGAUCCAGCAAUGCCGCGUGUGUGAAGAAGGCCUUCGGGUUGUAAAGCACUUUUGUCCGGAAAGAAAUGGCUCUGGUUAAUACCUGGGGUCGAUGACGGUACCGGAAGAAUAAGGACCGGCUAACUACGUGCCAGCCGCCGCAGUAA
RNAcentral lists this ribosomal RNA (508 nucleotides) under uncultured bacterium. RNAcentral describes it as "partial 16S ribosomal RNA". It matches the Rfam family "Bacterial small subunit ribosomal RNA", at positions 30 to 523 of the family's 1533-position model. The record is from RNAcentral.